Molecule: ribosomal RNA, 497 nt
Filed under: uncultured bacterium
Lineage: Bacteria
Description: partial 16S ribosomal RNA
Rfam family: Bacterial small subunit ribosomal RNA
Source: RNAcentral
GAUGAACGCUGGCGGCGUGCCUAAUACAUGCAAGUCGAGCGAACAGACGAGGAGCUUGCUCCUCUGACGUUAGCGGCGGACGGGUGAGUAACACGUGGAUAACCUACCUAUAAGACUGGGAUAACUUCGGGAAACCGGAGCUAAUACCGGAUAAUAUAUUGAACCGCAUGGUUCAAUAGUGAAAGACGGUUUUGCUGUCACUUAUAGAUGGAUCCGCGCCGCAUUAGCUAGUUGGUAAGGUAACGGCUUACCAAGGCAACGAUGCGUAGCCGACCUGAGAGGGUGAUCGGCCACACUGGAGCUGAGACACGGUCCAGACUCCUACGGGAGGCAGCAGUAGGGAAUCUUCCGCAGUGGGCGGAAGCCUGACGGAGCAACGCCGCGUGAGUGAUGAAGGUCUUCGGAUCGUAAAACUCUGUUAUUAGGGAAGAACAGAUUUGUAAGUAACUAUGCACGUCUUGACGGUACCUAGUCAGAAAGCCACGGCUAACUACGUG